GUAAGCCGGCCCCUAAGGCGAGGCCGAAAGGCGUAGUCGAUGGGAACCAGGUUAAUAUUCCUGGGCCAGUGGGAUGUGACGGAUCGCAGAUGUAGUUUGCCCUUAUCGGAUUGGGUGGGCUGCUGAGCGGUUCCUGGAAAUAGCCCCACAUCAGACCGUACCCUAAACCGACACAGGUGGACUGGUAGAGUAUACCAAGGCGCUUGAGAGAACCACGUUAAAGGAACUCGGCAAAAUGCCUCCGUAAGUUCGCGAGAAGGAGGCCCCAUAUGUGCGCAAGCAUGUGUGGGGGGCACAAACUAGGGGGUGGCGACUGUUUACUUAAAGCACAGGGCUGUGCGAAGCCGUAAGGCGACGUAUACAGUCUGACGCCUGCCCGGUGCUGGAAGAUUAAGAGGAGGGGUGCAAGCUCUGAAUUGAAGUCCCAGUAAACGGCGGCCGUAACAAUAACGGUCCUAAGGUAGCGAAAUUCCUUGUCGGGUAAGUUCCGACCUGCACGAAUGGCGUAACGAUCUCCCCGCUGUCUCUAACGUGGACUCAGCGAAAUUGAACUGUCUGUCAAGAUGCAGACUACCCGCGGUUAGACGGAAAGACCCCAUGAACCUUUACUCCAGCUUUGCAUUGGCAACAGGACUGUGAUGUGCAGGAUAGGUGGUAGGCAUUGAAGCGGGGACGCCAGUCUUCGUGGAGCCUCCCUUGAGAUACCACCCUUCGCCGUCUUGUUGUCUAACCGCGACCCGUUAUCCGGGCCCGGGACCGUGCAUGGUGGGGAGUUUGACUGGGGCGGUCGCCUCCCAAAUUGUAACGGAGGCGCGCGAUGGUUGGCUCAGACCGGUCGGAAAUCGGUCGUUGAGUGCAAUGGCAGAAGCCAGCCUGACUGCAAGACUGACAAGUCGAGCAGAGACGAAAGUCGGUCAUAGUGAUCCGGUGGUCCCAAGUGGGAGGGCCAUCGCUCAACGGAUAAAAGGUACUCUGGGGAUAACAGGCUGAUGAUGCCCAAGAGUCCAUAUCGACGGCAUCGUUUGGCACCUCGAUGUCGGCUCAUCUCAUCCUGGGGCUGGAGCAGGUCCCAAGGGUACGGCUGUUCGCCGUUUAAAGAGGUACGCGAGCUGGGUUUAGAACGUCGUGAGACAGUUCGGUCCCUAUCUGCCGUGGGUGCAGGAGACUUGAGAAGAGUUGACCCUAGUACGAGAGGACCGGGUUGAACGAACCACUGGUGGACCAGUUAUCGUGCCAACGGUAGUGCUGGGUAGCUAUGUUCGGACAGGAUAACCGCUGAAGGCAUCUAAGCGGGAAGCCCCCUUCAAAACAAGGUCUCCCUUGAGGGCCGUGGAAGGCGACCACGUCGAUAGGCCAGAGGUGUAAGCGCAGCAAUGCGUUCAGCUGACUGGUACUAAUUGCCC
RNAcentral lists this ribosomal RNA (1403 nucleotides) under metagenome. Its description in RNAcentral is "bacterial LSU rRNA". It matches the Rfam family "Bacterial large subunit ribosomal RNA", at positions 1379 to 2910 of the family's 2925-position model. The record is from RNAcentral.